RNAcentral lists this ribosomal RNA (1712 nucleotides) under Escherichia coli. RNAcentral describes it as "partial 23S ribosomal RNA". It matches the Rfam family "Bacterial large subunit ribosomal RNA", at positions 1 to 1746 of the family's 2925-position model. Lineage: Bacteria; Pseudomonadati; Pseudomonadota; Gammaproteobacteria; Enterobacterales; Enterobacteriaceae. The record is from RNAcentral.
GGGUUGUGAGGUUAAGCGACUAAGCGUACACGGUGGAUGCCCUGGCAGUCAGAGGCGAUGAAGGACGUGCUAAUCUGCGAUAAGCGUCGGUAAGGUGAUAUGAACCGUUAUAACCGGCGAUUUCCGAAUGGGGAAACCCAGUGUGAUUCGUCACACUAUCAUUAACUGAAUCCAUAGGUUAAUGAGGCGAACCGGGGGAACUGAAACAUCUAAGUACCCCGAGGAAAAGAAAUCAACCGAGAUUCCCCCAGUAGCGGCGAGCGAACGGGGAGCAGCCCAGAGCCUGAAUCAGUGUGUGUGUUAGUGGAAGCGUCUGGAAAGGCGUGCGAUACAGGGUGACAGCCCCGUACACAAAAAUGCACAUAUUGUGAGCUCGAUGAGUAGGGCGGGACACGUGGUAUCCUGUCUGAAUAUGGGGGGACCAUCCUCCAAGGCUAAAUACUCCUGACUGACCGAUAGUGAACCAGUACCGUGAGGGAAAGGCGAAAAGAACCCCGGCGAGGGGAGUGAAAAAGAACCUGAAACCGUGUACGUACAAGCAGUGGGAGCACGCUUAGGCGUGUGACUGCGUACCUUUUGUAUAAUGGGUCAGCGACUUAUAUUCUGUAGCAAGGUUAACCGAAUAGGGGAGCCGAAGGGAAACCGAGUCUUAACUGGGCGUUAAGUUGCAGGGUAUAGACCCGAAACCCGGUGAUCUAGCCAUGGGCAGGUUGAAGGUUGGGUAACACUAACUGGAGGACCGAACCGACUAAUGUUGAAAAAUUAGCGGAUGACUUGUGGCUGGGGGUGAAAGGCCAAUCAAACCGGGAGAUAGCUGGUUCUCCCCGAAAGCUAUUUAGGUAGCGCCUCGUGAAUUCAUCUCCGGGGGUAGAGCACUGUUUCGGCAAGGGGGUCAUCCCGACUUACCAACCCGAUGCAAACUGCGAAUACCGGAGAAUGUUAUCACGGGAGACACACGGCGGGUGCUAACGUCCGUCGUGAAGAGGGAAACAACCCAGACCGCCAGCUAAGGUCCCAAAGUCAUGGUUAAGUGGGAAACGAUGUGGGAAGGCCCAGACAGCCAGGAUGUUGGCUUAGAAGCAGCCAUCAUUUAAAGAAAGCGUAAUAGCUCACUGGUCGAGUCGGCCUGCGCGGAAGAUGUAACGGGGCUAAACCAUGCACCGAAGCUGCGGCAGCGACGCUUAUGCGUUGUUGGGUAGGGGAGCGUUCUGUAAGCCUGUGAAGGUGUACUGUGAGGUAUGCUGGAGGUAUCAGAAGUGCGAAUGCUGACAUAAGUAACGAUAAAGCGGGUGAAAAGCCCGCUCGCCGGAAGACCAAGGGUUCCUGUCCAACGUUAAUCGGGGCAGGGUGAGUCGACCCCUAAGGCGAGGCCGAAAGGCGUAGUCGAUGGGAAACAGGUUAAUAUUCCUGUACUUGGUGUUACUGCGAAGGGGGGACGGAGAAGGCUAUGUUGGCCGGGCGACGGUUGUCCCGGUUUAAGCGUGUAGGCUGGUUUUCCAGGCAAAUCCGGAAAAUCAAGGCUGAGGCGUGAUGACGAGGCACUACGGUGCUGAAGCAACAAAUGCCCUGCUUCCAGGAAAAGCCUCUAAGCAUCAGGUAACAUCAAAUCGUACCCCAAACCGACACAGGUGGUCAGGUAGAGAAUACCAAGGCGCUUGAGAGAACUCGGGUGAAGGAACUAGGCAAAAUGGUGCCGUAACUUCGGGAGAAGG